AUGCCCAGUGACGUUGUUCCACUUUCCUCUUUAGGGGGGAAGAAGGGAUGGGGCUGGGCCAGUCAUGGGGUAGGUUCUGAGCUCAGCGCCAACUUUCAAGCAUACCCUCUUGCCUACUUCCCCUACAGCAUGAUAUGGCUAGAAGCUGGACCCGGGCUGCCCACCAGCCCCACUUUGUUAUCGGGACCUGUCUCUGCUAGUCUUAUGACCAGGAACAGAAUGACGAUUGCUGGUGGGGGCGGGUGCCCAGGUACCAAGCCAACUGGGCUCUCGCCCGGCUCUAUCCCAGGCCUGGCAAUCUCCCUCUGGCCGUUACCCAUCAUGCACUUCUGCCUCUUUCGGGGAGACCUCGCCCUCUUGUUUUCAAAGUUUUAUAACAGUACUGUUUGUUGUGGAGCAGAUUAAAUUCUUUAGAGGUUGGGGGGUGGCUGGAGAAGAGUGAGAAAGUCUACUGGAGCCAAGAGAUUAAAUUAAUUCCUUUCUCAACGCAGAGUUCACCUGUCUUGGAAAGGGACCAGCAGCCAGGAACAUGUGUUCUCUCUCUCUGCCCUCUACCCUCAUGCCCUCCUUCUCUUCCUGUCCUGGGGAGGCACUCUGAGUCUGGCAAGGACAUGCCUGGUUGCAUGAUCAAGGGCUGGGGCUUUAAUGGUCAAUGAGCCAGGGUUUGAGACAAAAUGAAAGCAACUGAAGAGAACAGGAAUGGAGAAACUGACCUGUCCCUCCCCCACCUCCCUAUGACCAGCUGAAGAUCACUGAACCCUGAAAAUGCCCCAGGCACUCCUAUCCUGAUGAUGGGAUUGCUCAUCUUCCCCAAGGCUUUGCACCUUGGUCCUGGACCAUCCUGAGGUCCUAUGGGCAGCGCCUUGGAGCUCAGUCUGGGCAGACAGCUUCUGAAAUGAGCUCUGGCUUAUAUAUAAAACUUUUUUUAAAGGUUAAGUGACUCAACACAUUUUCAUAAAAAUGUGCCCUAAUGCACAUUAAUCAGUAUAAUGCAAUGUGCUGAAUAUAUGAUGAAUGAAUUAUGAGAAGUGCAUAUGUAAGCCGUUCUCUACACACAAACAUGAGGGGAAGCAAGGGCUGGUGGACAGAACACUGGCCUCAGUCAGGAAAACCUAGGUUCAACUCGCCUCUGACACAUACUGGUGUGACACUUGGCAAAUCACUUCACCCUUCAAUGCCUUAGUACAGAAAUGGGGAAUGUGUGGCCUGCAGGCCCCACCUAAAGACCUACAGACUGAAUGUUCUCUAGACCAAUGAUAUCAUUGCCCCCAAACUUAACCACAUAUCUAUCCACACACAGCCUGCCCCUAUGCAUAUAUCUCUAUCAACUUACAUGCACAUGUCAGAGGAAGUUCACAUGGCUGUGGGUGUGUGGUCUAUGAAUGGAGCGGGAGAAAAAUGAAGA
This 1405-nucleotide long non-coding RNA is filed under the name Phascolarctos cinereus (koala). RNAcentral describes it as "lncRNA (ENSPCIG00000004233.2)". The record is from RNAcentral. Lineage: Eukaryota; Metazoa; Chordata; Mammalia; Diprotodontia; Phascolarctidae.